GGUCUUCUUGUCCUAGACGCUCCUAGCUUGUCUUAGACGCUCCUAGCUUGGUCUUAGACGCUCUUGACUUGGCUCUUGCCUUUCAUGGAAGGUUGUGCUUGGCCCUCUUCCAUCAUCCCCUCCCUCUUGAAAAGGAUUUGUCCUCAAAUCCAAUGCUUUUGCUUCCUAGGGGGAUGGUUGUGGCUGGAUGGUGUCCAUCAUCUCCUCCUUCUUGAGAAGAU
This 221-nucleotide long non-coding RNA is filed under the name Phaseolus vulgaris (common bean). RNAcentral describes it as "long non-coding RNA (PVUL_LNC000970)". The record is from RNAcentral. Lineage: Eukaryota; Viridiplantae; Streptophyta; Magnoliopsida; Fabales; Fabaceae.